This 457-nucleotide ribosomal RNA is filed under the name Bacteroidetes bacterium oral taxon F60. Its description in RNAcentral is "bacterial SSU rRNA". It matches the Rfam family "Bacterial small subunit ribosomal RNA", at positions 28 to 476 of the family's 1533-position model. The record is from RNAcentral. Lineage: Bacteria; Pseudomonadati; Bacteroidota.
GAUGAACGCUAGCGACAGGCCUAACACAUGCAAGUCGAGGGGCAGCACAAGGGUAGCAAUACCCUGGUGGCGACCGGCGCACGGGUGAGUAACGCGUAUGCAACCUGCCUACCACAGGGGGAUAGCCUCCCGAAAGGGAGAUUAAUACCGCAUAAAACAGGGGCCCCGCAUGGGGAUAUUUGUUAAAGCAAUCGCGGUGGUAGAUGGGCAUGCGUUCCAUUAGCUUGUUGGCGGGGUAACGGCCCACCAAGGCGUCGAUGGAUAGGGGAACUGAGAGGUUUAUCCCCCACACUGGGACUGAGACACGGCCCAGACUCCUACGGGAGGCAGCAGUGAGGAAUAUUGGUCAAUGGGCGCAAGCCUGAACCAGCCAAGUCGCGUGGAGGACGACGGUUCUAUGGAUUGUAAACUCCUUUUGCAGGGGAGUAAACUGCGCCACGUGUGGCGCAUUGCAAGU